This 69-nucleotide transfer RNA is filed under the name Agriotes hirayamai. Its description in RNAcentral is "tRNA-Ser". Lineage: Eukaryota; Metazoa; Arthropoda; Insecta; Coleoptera; Elateridae. The record is from RNAcentral.
AGUUAAUGAACUUGUUAUAAGUAUAUAUUUUGAAAAUAUAAAAAAGGAGAAUAACCCUCCUAUUAACUU